This 500-nucleotide ribosomal RNA is filed under the name uncultured Glomeromycotina. Its description in RNAcentral is "partial small subunit ribosomal RNA". It matches the Rfam family "Eukaryotic small subunit ribosomal RNA", at positions 591 to 1092 of the family's 1831-position model. Lineage: Eukaryota; Fungi; Glomeromycota. The record is from RNAcentral.
CCAAUAGCGUAUAUUAAAGUUGUUGCAGUUAAAAAGCUCGUAGUUGAAUUUCGGGGUCAGCAGGUCGGUCGUGCCAAUGGUAUGCACUGGCCUUGCUGAUUCCUCCCUCUUGAUGAGCCGUAAUGCCAUUAAUUUGGUGUUGCGGGGAAUCAGGACUGUUACUUUGAAAAAAUUAGAGUGUUUAAAGCAGGCAAGCGCUUGAAUACAUUAGCAUGGAAUAAUGAAAUAGGACGUUUGAUCCUAUUUUGUUGGUUUCUAGGAUUGACGUAAUGAUUAAUAGUGAUAGUUGGGGGCAUUAGUAUUCAAUUGUCAGAGGUGAAAUUCUUGGAUUUAUUGAAGACUAACUACUGCGAAAGCAUUUGCCAAGGAUGUUUUCAUUAAUCAAGAACGAAAGUUAGGGGAUCGAAGACGAUCAGAUACCGUCGUAGUCUUAACCAUAAACUAUGCCGACUAGGGAUCGGAUGAAGUUAAUUUUUUAAUGACUCAUUCGGCGCCUUAUG